GCCAGAUGCGGUGGUGCAUGCCUAUAGUCCCAGCUAUCCAGGAGGCUGAGGUGGGAGCACUGCUUAGCCCAGGAGUUCUUGGCUGUAAUAUGCAUGCCAGUCAGGUGUCUGCACUAUGUUUGGCAUCAGUAUAGUGACCUCCUGGGAGCGUGGGACCACCAGGUUGCCUAAGGAGGGGUGAACUAUCCCAGGCUGGAAAUGAAGCAGGUAAAAACUCCUGUGCUAGUUAGCAGUGGGAUUGUGCCUGUGAAUAGUCACUGCACUCCAACCUGGGCAACACAGUGAGACCCCGUCUCU
This 297-nucleotide signal recognition particle RNA is filed under the name Mandrillus leucophaeus (drill). Its description in RNAcentral is "Metazoan signal recognition particle RNA (ENSMLEG00000003754.1)". It matches the Rfam family "Metazoan signal recognition particle RNA". Rfam says of the family: The signal recognition particle (SRP) is a universally conserved ribonucleoprotein. It is involved in the co-translational targeting of proteins to membranes. The eukaryotic SRP consists of a 300-nucleotide 7S RNA and six proteins: SRPs 72, 68, 54, 19, 14, and 9. The record is from RNAcentral. Lineage: Eukaryota; Metazoa; Chordata; Mammalia; Primates; Cercopithecidae.